Molecule: ribosomal RNA, 379 nt
Filed under: uncultured eukaryote
Lineage: Eukaryota
Description: bacterial SSU rRNA
Rfam family: Eukaryotic small subunit ribosomal RNA
Source: RNAcentral
UUGUGGUUAAAAAGCUCGUAGUUGGAUCUCAACAGCCUUGAAACGGUUAACUUUGUAGUUUUACUGCUUUAUAGGCUGUGCUUUUGCUGGAGGUUUAGGGAUGCUCUUGAUCGAGUGUCUCUGGAUGCCAGCAGGUUUACUUUGAAAAAAUUAGAGUGCACAAAGCAGGCUAAAAUGCCUGAAUAUUCGUGCAUGGAAUAAUAGAAUAGGAUGUCGAUCCUAUUUUGUUGGUUUUCGGGACUCGACAUAAUGAUAAAUAGGGACAGUCGGGGGCAUUUGUAUUCAAACGACAGAGGUGAAAUUCUUGGACCGUUUGAAGACAAACUACUGCGAAAGCAUUUGCCAAGAAUGUUUUCAUUAAUCAAGAACCGUGAAGUUA